UUUAAACGUAUCCAUAAAGUUUCCGUGUUUAACUUUGAUUGUUUGUUUUAUUUGAAAUUUUUUUAUUAGUAUUUUUCUUGUUAUCAUAAAUAGUAUUUUAUGAGUGACUUAUGUUUUUAAUUUUUUCAUAAAUUUUUCAAAUAAGAUAGACGAUUAAAGUUGGACAUGUAAGCUUAUGGUUACGUUUAAA
Oryza punctata is the source of this 190-nucleotide non-coding RNA. NCBI's taxonomy places the organism in Eukaryota, Viridiplantae, Streptophyta, Magnoliopsida, Poales, Poaceae. The record is from Rfam.